UCCCUGAUAGCUCAGUUGGUAAAGAGUCUGCCUGUAAUGCAGGAGACCCCAGUUCAAUUCCUGGGCAGGGAA
This 72-nucleotide transfer RNA is filed under the name Bos taurus (domestic cattle). It matches the Rfam family "tRNA". Rfam says of the family: Transfer RNA (tRNA) molecules are approximately 80 nucleotides in length. Their secondary structure includes four short double-helical elements and three loops (D, anti-codon, and T loops). Lineage: Eukaryota; Metazoa; Chordata; Mammalia; Artiodactyla; Bovidae. RNAcentral also lists the same sequence under 4 other names. The record is from Rfam by way of RNAcentral.